CAAGAGAGCGCCACCAGGCACAGGAUAAUAUCUCUGUAUGCUUUGAGAGAGGGGGAGGAAGGAGGGAAGGAGGGUAGUGGGCCAGGAGGGGUUUCGCCAAUCAAGUGGGCCACACUUCCUCCCCCAGGUUCUAAUUUUGUGCCACAUUAAAGAGCUCGGCCUCCAUUUAGGACACAGAGAGGCAUUUUCAUAAUUUGCCGGGUCUCUUGACUAGCUCGGGGUGCCUUUUUUCCUCUCUCUCCUCCCUCUCUCUCUCACUCCGUGUCUGAAUGGAAGGCCUGGGGAGGAAGAGGGGUAAUUCAUUCGCCUCCUUUCAACCAGUUCUGCAUGAUGUUGCUGCUAGUGAUUACAGGGGCCUGCGGGCCUGGCGGCGGCUCCGUUGCUGGGACAGGGAGCUUCUCUCUGGGCAAGGAGAUACGCCUGUCUGCCCCUUCUGCUGGAGCUACAGGGACCAGGAUGUCAGGAGGGAGAGUGCUCCCUGUGAGCUCCUGCUCUCUCUCUCUCUCUUCCUCUCUGUGUCUUUCACCGUCUCUUUCUGUCUGUCUCUCUCUCCCUCUCAUCUCGCUGUCUGUACUAUUGCAGUGCUUGCAGAUGUGCACAAACAAGGGAGGAUUAAAGCAAAACGAAUCUAAACAGACAAAUGGAAUUAGAGUGAUGGGUGUCGGUGGGCUGGUUCACAGUGAUAAACAUAAUGAUGCUCUGUGAGUGUUUGUGUGUGUGUGUGUGUGUGUGUGUGUGUGAGAGAGUGUGUGUAUGUGUGAGUGUGUGUGUUCCUGCGUCUAGGGGAUUAUCGGUGGUUAGGUGUGUGGUGUGUAUGGCUGGGUGACUGCUUCUGGGUGUCUUUGUGUGUUUGCCUAUCUGUCUAUGUUUUUGUAAUUAUGUGUGUGUAUAUUUACUCGGUCUCUACUUGUGUGUGUGAUAAAUGUGUUAUUCCAUAUUGCCUCACAAAAACAAGUCUCUGCGCCCUCUGCAUGCGUGUGGAUAGGUUUCUGUGUUUUCCUAUUGUUCGGGGUCAUACUUCCUUCUCCUUUUCAUAGUGUCUGUUUGUAUUUGUGCACCGGAGCUACCAAAGCCGGUAUGUCUCUACUGCACAUAAAAACUCUUCACCCAGUAUUGACAGACACCUAGAAAGAUGAGAAAAAAAGGGUCCGUGUGUUUGUGUGCUGAAGAGGUCAGGAGUUUGGAGAAGUCAGCAGGGGGGCAGUGAUCAACAGUCUGGGGCUCCCCUGCCGAGGGGCUCUGGGAUUAGGGCUAAACCCUGCCCUGCCAGAUGGGCACAACACAUCCUCUACAUCGCACACCAUCACCUUUAGAACUGCACUCGCCCUGCCCCCUUCUGUGGAAACGAGUCGACUGGAUCCAGGGUGAUACUCACUGGACCACACGGAGCGUUGGCUGGAGAGACGACUGAGAUGAGCGGUGAGGUCACACCAUCUUUGGAGCCAAGAAAGGAUCCACAAUCACCGUGUGUUGAGAUCAAUGGAGGGGAGCAAGUGUGGAGCUCUCAGCAGCCGAGAGUCUAUUCCAGUCGGCGAAGUUGUGUGAGAAGCUUAAAGGAGGUCUGUCCAUUCCGAGCACUUCACCAGAAGAAUGAACUUGAGCUUUGUCCUUGGAUAAACAUUAG
This is a long non-coding RNA of Xiphias gladius (swordfish), 1624 nucleotides long. RefSeq lists it as uncharacterized. The transcript is spliced from 6 exons. NCBI's taxonomy places the organism in Eukaryota, Metazoa, Chordata, Actinopteri, Istiophoriformes, Xiphiidae. The record is from RefSeq and is a predicted model, not a curated record.